UUCACCUGCCGCUCUGGGCUAUUAUUGCUUGAGAUACCGACUAUAGUAAGAACCCUGAUGGAGCGAUCCUAAAUGGUCAACGUCGCUGGUAAAACCAUAUAAAGUGAUUCAAUGCGAACAUAAAGAAAUGUUAAUGAUCGUCAAAGACCUUUGUGUUGGAUGGCUUUCCUUCCAGUUACUCUCUCUUUCUCGCUCUCUGCUGUCCUUUUUAUUUCUUCAUUUCUUUCUUUGAGCCAUGAACGAAGGAACAUGUGCAGAUUAUGCUUUCUUUCACAAAAACCAUUGGAGGAAAAUAAUACCUUGGUAUUGACUAAAAGAAUAAAAUCCCAACCCUAAAAUACAUCCCUGUGGCUGAAAGCCCUCAAAAUAUCUUCUGUAAGCAUGCUACUUUAAACUGCUAUAAUGUUGACAGUGUGCUGUGCCUGCUGUGGGGAUGCCUGUGUAUCUCAGUGGCUGUGCUGUGAAAUGUGGCACUCAGACAUAGUUUCUGACCUCUAUAUAGCAGUGUGAAAGGACCUCAACAGCUGUAAACAACACUGCAAUCAGUGUCCCAUCUGCUCCCAUGUCCCACUUGUGUGGAUGCCUUUUUGCCAUUUCUUUCACCCUCUGCCAAGUGGCUGCCUCAGGACAUCUAACCCAGAGAAAAGAGCUCAUUUACCCAAGAAGGAAAGAAGCAAACUAGAUUUCUGAGCGGCUUUGCGGACAGGGAAACUUGGUGGCGGCAAAAUUUCACCAGGUUAAGCCAACUGUACUAUGCAAAUUAAGCCAUUAAAAAAAUACAAGAGUUAAUCAAAAUGCACCAAACAUAAUUUUUAGGGGGAUAAAAAAAACAGAGUGUCGUUUGAAAUUAUUUGCUCAACCAGCUUACAAGCUUUGAAAGCAGCCCUUAAGUGUUGAUUUAACCUCCAUUCACCCCUGUUCAGGAUAAUGAUGCUUCAAAGGGAUUACAUGAAGAGAGUGCUUGAGCUUGACCCACUCCAAAGGUAAGUGGUGUGACUCCCAUUUCGUAUGAAGCCUACUCAGUGGAUCUGUAUAUGCACCCUGACACCUAUAAUUUCCUUGUAAGGCCAGAUGUUCGGCGAAUCUGGGGGACGCUGAAACAAGUAGAGGUAGCUGGUUAGCCGCGUGGACUUGGGUGACUUAAUGUUUGGAGCAAAACAAAGUACUUUCCCCGGUUCAUCCAAUGUGAAAGGUUCGUUUGAAUCAUCUCCCCAGCUUAGUUUUUGUUUAGAAACAUUCCUUAGAAAAUCUUCAGCAUCUUCUGGUUCAUAGUAAUGUCAGGGGUGUAAAGAUUGUCAAAAUAAAUAAGUAAAGAAUUCCUUUGCAUUACCAGUAUCAGUACCCUUUUUUAAGUUUGGGGAAUUUGUUGGGUUCACGCUUAGUUUUUAGAUAUCUAAAUAUCUUUCAGGAUUAAGACGGCUGGGAUAGGAGACAGAUGAUCUCUUUAUUUUCUUGUUUUAGAGGAAGUUGUAAUUAUUCUUUUGCUCAAAGCAACUUUCACAAGGGUGCUGUUGGUUUCUAGUGAUGAUGUGAGCGUUUAGCAGACUUUACAGACUUCAACAGAUUUGCAAGCUAUGCAGUUAUUUUCAUUAUUUUAGGCCUGAGAUAUCACUUAUACAGUAUGUUCUAAGUUGUAAAAAAGCCACCACUAGCUGGGGUUUUAGCUCUGAUAAAUAGCUUUUUUUGUUCCAUCAUGCUAUAAUGCUCCACUAUCUGGAUAUAAUUCAGUACAGAUGACAGAUGGUGGCUCAGCACAGUUUGGCAGUGUUUUGAUCUAGAUAAUGGAGAUAGGCUGCGUCAGGUUAGACUAGCAUACAACAACGAUAUCAGAAAAUAAUUAACCAGCAUGUGGCCAUUAACCUGCAGAAGGAAGUAAGGAUCGACCAAUAAUCGGCACGACUGAUUAUAUCGGCCGAUACUCAGCAUUUUACAAUAAUCGCCAUCAGACGUUUUUUUCACUGAUAGCCAAUAAAAUAGGUUUAUUUUAAAACGCACUCAUUCGGCUCUUAAACAGCCGCCUCGCUCUGCCUGAUGUUACCACUCUUGGCUGUGUAGCAGUGUCCUGUCAAUAGUCCCCACUGAUUGGCUACACAGACAGCCAAUCAACUCUCAAGCUUCUAGGUUCAGCUCCACAGCAAGGGAGAGAGAGAGAGAGGAGCAUGCAUCUUAUGAUACAACGGUUGAAGGUCUUGUUAUCACAGAUUUUCACAGUGUACAAAAUAAACAAACAGUGUACUGAGUUCAGACUAAUUCCAUGUGUCUUACAAUUAUCAGUUUCCGUGAUGAAUAAUUGGUAUCAGUAUCGGCCCUAAAAGAAAAAAAAAACAUAUUGGUCGAUCCUUAGAAGAAAGGAUGAGAGGUUUGUGGUGCUAGCUCUGCUAAUGGUAGCCACACUUGCCAACUAAUUGACAUUUUGUUUACUUGCAGACUGUAAUCCCUUGAUUAGCUUUGUUGAAUCAACUUUGAUCAAUCUGGACUACGUACUGGAUUUUAUCUUAAAACUAGAAAAAAGUUGGAAUUAAAUUUCUGUCAUGAGGACCAGAAUACUAGUGACUAGAAUAUCCCUAGUUUCUGGAUAACCUAUAUCUGUUCAGACAAAAUGAUGAAAUAAGAAACUAGGUGUUAAUUGGCCAUCUUGCUUUUGAUUGAUAAAUUUAAAGUAUCAGAUGUAUUACACAUCAGACAGAUAGGUUGAAUAGAUGCAUAACUAGAUUUUAUCCACGGCUUUUAAGUGAAAUCAUUCUGAUUGAAGUACUGACUAAACUCUUCGGAUAGGUAAUUAAUCAAAUGAAAUAAACAUUGUCAAACCCAUUCUUGGUUAAACAGCUGAGGUGAUGCAGUCAUAACACACUGUGUGGUUUCUGUAGUUAAUAUUCAUUAUCAUGAAGAUGAUCAAGAAUACAUGCUGCCCUUGUCUGCUCCAACCAGAGGGGUCACUGUGCCUCAAUCAGUCCAGGUGUCUCUGUGCUUUAAAUAAAUGCCUUUUGUAUCUAUAAUGAAAGUGUAACAUCUUCACAAGGGUGGGCCGAGGCAAACUUUGUAUUCUGUAUGCAUAAUCCAUGUAUAAAUAUGCCUCACACAAGAGCCCUGUGUGUUAUGUGAUUUGAGUGGGGGUCAGAGCCACUUGUAUUCCUGUGGGUGGGAUUGUGGAAUUGCAGGAGAUUUGAUUGGAGCACUAUCCCUACAUGAGGGCCCUCCAGAACUCCUAUCUGUUGUUCCCCCUACUCAUUUACUUUAUCAGUGCACUGCUGUAAUAUACAUAAUUCAGACAACCAGGGAAUGUCUUUGGGCUCCGAACCACCUGCUGGCUUUUAUUAGCUAAUUAAUGGUGAUUUAUCAGAGCUGCUAAUUUGAGUGGGGCCGCUUGCCUUCAGGAGUCUCAGAGCACCGCAUGAAUUCUGAUGGUAAUUAUGCUUAUUUGAUGGGCAGUUUGCUAAAACAAAAAGUUCUGUCUUUUCUGCCCCACAGGGAUGGAAUUUCUGUUCUUACCAAAGACGACCUUGUGUGAUUUUUUUUUCCCCUGUCUCAUUAAGGUCUCUCACGCAGUUCAUUUUAAUACUUAAAUUCAAAACAGCUUUUUUACCUUUUUACCUGUAGAUGUGUGUCCUUGGGAAGGUCUUUUAUGAUGUCCUCAUGUUUCAAGUAUAUUUACUGUUCAAGGACCAGAUAUUUACCUAUGGUUUGAGACUUGGUAUUUGGGGAGCCUUCGAGGAGAAUACUAAUAUUAAUACCCCAAAUUUCCUUCUGCCUAUGUGAUUUAAAUAUACAAAUAUAUUUAUGGUACAAGACCAGUUUUUACAUUUACACAUUUCUGCCUGUUAUAAAUAAGAAUCUCUGAAUGUUAAUAGUAUAAGAACUGUCUUAAGGGGUUUAGACUCGUAAAAAAUAAGAGGCUUUGCUUAUUAAAAUGUAGCAAAUGUGGACUUUGCGAGGGGUUUUCUGAAGCUGACACUUCUAUCUCUUCUUGUAGGUAACAGGUGAGUGACAGUGAGCAAAGAAUAACUGAGAAGGUAAGGAAACAUUAACAAAGAUUCUGUUGGUCUGGUAAUGGAGCGGUCAAGCUGGUAAUUGUCAAACCCAUGUGAUCCGCCUUUGCAUGCACAGGAGACAAACAAGCGUUUUCUUUUACUUUUUCCUCUAUUUUCUCCUGAGUUUUGUUUUCAGAGUCAUCAUAAAUGACUGGAGAGGACGCUUUCGAGGUAAGUUAUUUCAUCCAUCUAUCAACAGUUGCAUAAACUCUUACUACCGUGCAGUAUGGAAUAUACUUAACCCGGUGUGGGUCACAUCUAAGAUCUUCUGGGUUUUGGUUUUGUACAUUUUUAUGAUGCCAUCUAAACAGACUUAGUUGCACAGUUUGUGCUUUAAAGUACAGUGUGUACAAACAGAAAUAUUAAGCAAUAACCAGUGAUCAGAUUUUGUGCUCAUGCUGGACUUUCACCAGUUCUGUGUUUUGUCCAUCGCCACUCUAAUAUAGCUCUGUGCCCCCUCAUCCAUCUACAAGUAACGGCUGUGUUUUCACAGUGCAGCACCGCUGGAUAGCUCAAGUCACUAGACCACAGAUUUUCUAACAUUACAUACAUUAUUAAUGGUUUUCUCCCUUCACAACGAGGUAUGAAAACCUCUGACCUGUUGACUCCAGGCCUGAAUCUACUCACUGUGAUGGUUUGAAGUAUGUGAGUUAAAUUUACAUGACUAAAGUACAACUGUAAAAAUUGUGUAAAAACGCAGAUUUCAGAGCUCGCACAAACAGAAAACAUGUCGGUUCACCUGUACACUAUACCUACAUCUAAAAAUUAUAAAAAUAAAACAAAUAUAAAAAUCUUUUUUUAUAUGACUGUACCUGUAACAGCUACAGCCAUAUUUAUCACAAUGUAAUUAAGCACAGUAGGGUCUAGGGCUUCCAUUACUCUGUAACUUCUCCAUAAGCUUCUGUCAACUGAGGGCUUCCAUAAGUCUACUGCAUCCUGCUAGCUUGUUGCAUGUAGGACUGCAUUCUCCAAUGGUCAAUAAAACGGGCAGUACUUGUCACAUGGAAAGUCCCUACAUGGCAGGUAAGUGAAUCUCUCCUUGUAGAUUUGAGUCUCAUUCUCCACCUUUCCACUAAUCUCGGCAUAACCAGCUAAAAGGUUUUUUUUUUUUUUUUUCUGGUUUUAAAAGUGAUUAGCCCAUCUCUUUGCCUCUUUUUACUGCUGUCUAACAUCUCAUUGUGUUCUAUGUGGCUGUCAACUUCUUUAUUCUCAUCCAUGCCAUUACAGCCACAGCAUGAAAUGGUGAAGUAGAGACAUAGUGGUUAAAAAGGCAGGGAAAUCCAGCUAAAAAAAACCCAGAUAUUUUGCCCUGGUCUAUCAAUAAUUGCAUGAUUCAAGUGAAGUAUGAUGGGUUCAUCCUCUGGCAACCAGAAAAAUGUUUGUAAAACUUAAUGGCAUUCAAUCAAAUGGCUGAAACAACUGUAGUGUUGUUCCAGUGCAAAACAAUGGUCAAACCAGAGAUCCAUAGAGUUGCUGAAAAGCACAUCAAAUACAGAAAUUGGUUGGAUCAAGAGUUGGGUUUUUACUUGGCUUAUUAUUCAAUCAAAAAAAUACACACUGACUUUUCUAAUGUAAGUCUGUCAUAAGCUAAUUUUUGGAAAGCUUCAUUUCACUUUCUAUAGUUCAAAACAUUUGACAAGCCCUGUCACAUGAGCAAAGAUCCAGCAUAGUAUCAGAUAGCCGAUUGAUGUUUUCUGCCCUCUGCAUGCAUAUCCUUGGGGAAAUGCUGUAGACUCGCUCUUUUCCAAAGCAGGUUAAAUCCCAAAAGGCACAUGGAAAUAUACAAGAAUGAAACACCAUGUCAAGUCAUUUGGCAUGUCAGAUAUUAGAAUGUGAAAGGAGGGGGGGGUUGGAAAACUGGUGUUAAGAUGUGUUUGCCAGCAAGUGUAAUCUUUUUAUCCCAAUUCAAAUACAAUUCAAAACAGCAGGUAAACGGAAAUAUCACACAAGCAAGCAACCAUGCCUCAAGCAACACGCUCCAUUAAAGGAGUUUGCCACGCAAGGUGCUGCAGCUCUCACUACAAAAAAAAAUGAAGUGUUUACUCAGUGGGAUUUGAACAAGAAAUCUGAAAACACACUUUAAUGUUGAGAUCUCCCAACAACCUCUGAGCAGAUGUUUUCACUCAGAACAUGUAGAAGUCUCCCUUUAAUGUGUCUGUCAUGGAAUCAAGAGCAUCAUUUGUUCAUUUGUGGGUGGCAUCCCAUCAGAGCAUUAUUACAAACUGACAGCCAAACUAAACAGAAGAAUAAACAAAGGUGGCUCUUCGGCAUAAAGAAGACAUAACUCCUUCAUGAUCAAUGAAAAUGCCAGUCAAGAUCUCUACAACGAAGCUGAAGUAUGUCACUGCAAUCAAUGUACUGACCCGGGGGAGGUCACGGUGUGUAUGUGUGAGUCUUUGUGUGCCUUUUCUGUUUGUGUGUAUGCAAUGGACCUCUGGUAGAGACGGGUCACCUCACUCCCUCUGGGGACAGAACCUUGGGUAUAAAAAUACACUACUCACUGGGACCUCUGCAAGAAGAGAAGGACCAGUCCUUUUCUCAUAAGAACACACACACCACGUACACACACUCAAAACUCAGGCUAGAUUUGAUGGGGGGGAUGGAAAUAAGCGCCUCUGUGCCCAUGAAUGCUAUCAUUUCAUUCCUCUACUCUGAAUGCUCCAGGGAUCUCUGAGAAGGAGUAGGAGCAAUAAGUUCACUUUGCUGAAUUAAUGCCGUAAUUCUUUAUCAGGAGAGCCUUGGCAUUACCUUGAACCGGGCUGGUUUUAUGCAAAAUGGUUCCAAGCCUCGUUUUUUUUAAAUGAUGGUCCUAAUUUGUUGGCUCACUUUAAAUUAUUAAUCUCUUUUAUAUGCAAGUACUUAUUACGUGUCAUAAGUAUGUAUCUAUGGGGUGAGAUGUAAUAGCAUCUGCUGGACCUUAGGAAAAGAGCCACCGCUGAAAAGCUAUUAAAUAUUGAUAAUCAGCCAAAUAUUUGCCCUGGCACCUGCUUUGAGCCACUGUGCUGAUUGGCAUGGGAGCAGCUAUAGUGGUCACUAAAGACACACAAUGAGAUGUUAACACAGGCUCUCACUGGCAGAGGUGAACAAAUCAAUUAGACCAGAAAGAUGUGACUGUAACAUUUAGAAGACGGUUCAUGUGAACACUGUCUCAAUAUGACACCGGUUCAAAAACAUCAGGGCUUGACAGUGCAACUGUUUCACUCACAUUUGCAACUAAAAAUAGAUGCGUGCGAAUUGUAAAAUGUAUUCUGCGGCACAUGUGCGCAUAUAAAAAUCAGCCGAGGAAACAAAUGUUUCUUCAUGUAAAUACCGCGGUGAAGUUAGUUUUAGGUUGGAUAUCCGACAGACAUUAACAUGUGGAUCUACCGGUAUCUUCUCACCCUCCAUGUCAUUAUUUGAUCAAUUUUCAUUGUGCCCCUCAAGUUUUUUGUGUGCUUCUAACUUGCUCCUGGUCAAAAAAAGUUAUUGUCAAGCCCUGAAUAUAUACAAAUGAUUUAAAUUCUUUUUCCAGGUGUAUGUCAAGUGAAAACAGCUGAGCCUCCCUGCUUUUUGCCUACUAAAAUUGUGUUUAACUUGCAACCCAGAGUACUGAAAUCCUCCAGUCCCAAAAAAAAAAUCAUAAUUUGGUACAAAGUAAAAAGACUAAACAUAGAGUCACAGUGUCUGCAGGCACCAGUUUGCAGGAUGUGGUUUUAGCAGAGGUACCACCACCUGCCUUCGGUUCUCUUUGCAGGUUGUCCAAAUGCAUUCGCUAGUUGCUAGAGUUGAGUAUCUCUUGCGUGAGGCCGAAACAAUUUACCCUGACUACAAUAUGGUGCAUAAAAGAUAAAUGUGCCACUUACAAUGUGAUGCAAUGCAAUAUGAGUCGCAACCGCAUCAUGAUGCAGCGCAACUGCAAUGUGAUCUAACGAUGUAAAGGAAGUAUGAUAGGCAAUUCAACAAGUUAGAUUUUUCAUUAAUCAAAUAAAAUUGAGACUUUUCACAAACUGGCCUUUUUGUCACAAGUUCUCUGUGAGUGUUCUCUCUACUUUGUCACACCUGGCUAACAAAAUUCAGGAUGCUCAAGAUGACAAACAUCCAUUACUUGUGAUAUAAAAAUCCAUAUGCUUAGCACUUUUUCCACAGGAGUUAGGCUCAGUGUGAGUAAAAACAGAUAUCUGGAUAUCUCUACAAAUAAAGACAGACAUACCAUCAGUUAUGUUGUAAAUAAACAAAUCGGUUCAUCUUCCCAUCCCAAAUGGUUUAGCUUGUGGUUGAACACCCCUUUACAAAUAUAACCUUGUUUGCGAUCAAUGCUUAUUUACAUACAGAUAGUAGAUCAAUGUAACAACCGGAAGUUUGUUUAAAAAAAAAAAAUAAUGAUUUGCUUUGCCUAGACUAUCCCAGUAGUUCAUUGAGAACUUUGUGAAAGGAUCAUACUUUAGUAUGAGAGGCAGUUCAGGAUAAUAAAAAAACUGAGUAAACCAACUACUUGAAUGUUUUUCAGACGAACUUAUGAUUUGAUAUUUAGUAUUAAAUUCAUUUGUCAUGUUCGCACUGUUGUUUUAUGGUCAAAUAAAAAGUGACAGAAUUCCUCAACAAUAUUCCAUAAAGUGAAAAACUACUGUUAUGUUUAUAGUUGUGUCACAAACCAGGAACAUGCCAAAGGAAGCAAGUCAGCCCAUGUAAAUGUCACAAAAAGGGACCUCUACACAAGAGAAGAAUGCCAGAGUCAGCGCUACAUAUCCAUCUAUCCAUCCGUCAGUCCAUCAGACAUACCACUGAACCAUCUGCCAGCCUCCCC
Xyrichtys novacula (pearly razorfish) is the source of this 8811-nucleotide non-coding RNA. Lineage: Eukaryota; Metazoa; Chordata; Actinopteri; Labriformes; Labridae. The record is from the annotation of a GenBank genome assembly.